Molecule: unclassified non-coding RNA, 327 nt
Filed under: Hevea brasiliensis (rubber tree)
Lineage: Eukaryota; Viridiplantae; Streptophyta; Magnoliopsida; Malpighiales; Euphorbiaceae
Source: RNAcentral
AUGCCAAGCACAUCUUGUUUCUGGUUAUGGUUCUCAAUAACUGAAUCUUCUGCAGUGCAUUCCUUCUCCUCAUAGUCCUUUGCUUCCACACUAUGUCCUGAAGUUUUAGGAAGAGCAUUAACUUUAUCAUGAGAGACACCAUUUGACUUCACUACGGCACCAUUUGGCUUCCUAUCCAUUUCCUCAUCUGCAAGUUCUAGUCCCAUCACAAAUUCCGGUCCGAUCUGACAGGAUCUCGAGCUUCUCCCUUCCUCUCUCCCCGUUUCUCUCUCUAUCUCUCUCCAAAAAUUAAAAAAAAAAAAAAGAAGCAAAAAUGUAGCGAGAGGC